This 83-nucleotide transfer RNA is filed under the name Schistocephalus solidus. It matches the Rfam family "tRNA". From Rfam's summary of the family: Transfer RNA (tRNA) molecules are approximately 80 nucleotides in length. Their secondary structure includes four short double-helical elements and three loops (D, anti-codon, and T loops). Further hydrogen bonds mediate the characteristic L-shaped molecular structure. tRNAs have two regions of fundamental functional importance: the anti-codon, which is responsible for specific mRNA codon recognition, and the 3' end, to which the tRNAs corresponding amino acid is attached (by aminoacyl-tRNA synthetases). tRNAs cope with the degeneracy of the genetic code in two manners: having more than one tRNA (with a specific anti-codon) for a particular amino acid; and 'wobble' base-pairing, i.e. permitting non-standard base-pairing at the 3rd anti-codon position. Lineage: Eukaryota; Metazoa; Platyhelminthes; Cestoda; Diphyllobothriidea; Diphyllobothriidae. The record is from Rfam by way of RNAcentral.
GGCCUCGUAGUUCGGAUGGUUAGAGCUUUGGCCGUACCAAAGCUCUCCCCUUGCUGUCGUGGGUUCAAAUCCCACCGAGGCCG